UGCAGCCGCGAUGUUUCGUGAG
This 22-nucleotide unclassified non-coding RNA is filed under the name Mus musculus (house mouse). Its description in RNAcentral is "oocyte_clustered_small_RNA2386". The record is from RNAcentral. Lineage: Eukaryota; Metazoa; Chordata; Mammalia; Rodentia; Muridae.